Molecule: long non-coding RNA, 3672 nt
Organism: Sipha flava (yellow sugarcane aphid)
Lineage: Eukaryota; Metazoa; Arthropoda; Insecta; Hemiptera; Aphididae
Exons: 5
Source: RefSeq, a predicted model, not a curated record
UUUUUUUUUGUACACCCUUAUGAAAUAUAUUAUAACAAUACAUAUUUUUAUAACUAAGACUAAUGCUUAUAAUAUGUAUAUUCCUCACAGAUGUUUCAAUUAUAUGUACGAAAUAACCGUUGAUAAAGCUUUUCUCAAUAAUAAACAAGUACUGCAACAAAUUGUACAUUAAUAGUUUGAUAUCACCACGACUGUUAUCGUGGAAGUUUCACUUCUAUGAUCUGUGCUUGCAUAGAAUUGUUUUUUUUUUUUUUACAUAUUUGGAUAGAGUAUUUUUUUCUAAACAAUUUAUGUAUAAAGUUUUUUUUAAUUACAAAAUUUGCAUAUGAAAUUUAUCGAUGAACUUCAAUAUUUACAUUACUUACAUUUAAUAUUUAGUGUGUACAAUUUUAUAGUUUUCAAAUUAGCUAUCUUAUUUCAGAAUAACGAAUGAGAAAAAUGACAGUAAAUUACGAUAGAAAAGUGUUUAUUUAUAUUUUAUCUGUGUGUAAACAGGUAUUUCCUAACUGGAUACUAAUAAGUAACAAUAAGUUGAAUUUAGUUUAAAUUUCAUCAAAAUCAAAUUACUCAUAAAUAUUAAAAUUCAUCAUAUAGAGUAUGUAAGUUGUCAAUAAAUGAAUUUCCCCACUACCGACGCCUUCCCACUAAUGACCCAUCCGUUUUUAAUCCUACUCUUAAAAUAUCCUGUUGCACUUGUAUUUUAUUAUUAUUUGUUCGACAGUGAACCUUACAUGUCACCGUAGUUGUCGUCGCUCGCUCAUGCUCCGGAGACUACGGUAGGAUACAAUACUGCAAGGUAUUUAUUAUUAUUAUUAACCAUUAUGUCCCUAAUGUCUAAUGUAAUUGUUAUGAUCUCAUUUGUUUCAUGAUUUGACUGUUAUUAAAAAAAAAAAAUGUUAUUCUACCUAUUGUUAUACUUAUGUUAACCAUGCUGUUUUUUUUAUUAUGAUUAUUACUUAUGAUAUGUUCCCCAUAAUUUUGUUAACUUAUGGUAUGACAGAGCCACCAUAUCUAGCUCAAACGGUCGAUUCAUUGUUCAGCUUGCUUCAACUUCCACUACUUUCACUCUCAGCUGUUCACCAUCGUUCCAGGCGUUCUUCUGGAUAACCAGCAACCUGUUAAUUCACAAAGUAUAGGUUGUCAAUGAUGUAGACUGCAGAAAUCCCUUCCGCCGUUGCAAUGAUCUGCAUGGGGGGGGGAUUGUUCAGGCUUUUCUGCCAUUUAAAAUUGCCCGCCCUCUACAACUGGAUGCGAAACUGAUUAACCAACCACCUCUACUUGCGAGGUUGGUCACACUAGCUAUCGCGUCAGCGUCCAUUACCGGAAGCGGCACGCGGACACCGUUCGCUCUCAUGCUCGUCAUCUUCCUGACUGUACACACUUGUUACGUACUGCACGAAUAUUCAUGAAAACCGUCAUCUUGAUGACCAUAUGGUCAAUGCGACCCAGCUUUACGCCCGCUCCGAUUACAACCCUAAGUUUGCCCCGACUACAAGAAUUGCUCACUUGUUCCGCUCUACGUCUGCUCCGACCACAAGUAUUGCUCACUUGACCCUACGUCCGCUCCGACAUCGUUGAACCUGAUCAAGCACGAGGACCACUCCAGCAGCUGCGAUCGACUCUGUCCUCGAGUUAAACUCGAAUCCGGUAGACGGAGUGUGCGCGAGUCGACGCCAACUACUUGUUAAAAACGUUAUUCCCCAACAAUAGUUGACCUUCGCCAAAAUAAUGAUACUCGGCCUGUUAUCUAUUUAGAUAAAACGUUGGUUAACCAGAAUCACACAAAAGGGUACAUUUGGCAAAAUUAAUUUAAUUCAGAAGGGCAUAAAGUACCUACAGGAAAAGGUAGUAGAUCAAUUACUUUCCACGCAGGAUCUAGUUUAUUUGGAUUUAUACCUGUGUUAUGAGCUACCAUUUAUGACAUAACCAUGUAUAAAUAGAAAUUGUACGUAACAACUUUAUAUGAAUUGUGUAAGACAGCAGGUUGUUAUAUUUAGAACAAAGUCGUAGGUCAAUCUAUAUUAUAUAUUAAAUAAGUCCUAUAACGUCAAUCGAGCAAUAAAAAAGAGGAAACGAAAUGACCAAAAUUCAGAUGAGUUCUAGUCACGGAGCUGCAAACAACUUCAUGUCACUCUAUGUUAAAAUUUGUUAAAUACUGAAUAUUAAAAUAAAUGUAUAAAAGUUAAAGUCUCAUAUUUUAUUAAUUAAAUUUAAAUACAUCAUCGACUGCAUUACUUGGAAUCAAGCCGGUGGAACGUAACAAUUGGCGCUGUGGACAGGUUUCUUCAAAAAGAAAAUAUUUAUAUUAUUUUUUCAUAAAAAUAUAUAAUAUUUUUCCACGGAGGCAGUUCAAUUCAUUCGAAUCACCGUGAAAAGAAACUGAUCACUUUUUCUCCAACUUCGAAGAAAAAAUAUACACUCCAUUGUGCAACAUUUCAAGUCAAACAGUCAACGAUGUCUUUUGGAUCGUCUAACUCCGCCUUGUUCUUAUACAACUAUUUACUGAUUCAAAAAGUGCAAAUGAAGGUGCAACUGCUGAGAAGAUAUUUGAUGAACUUCUUAAAGCUUUUAACGAAUCAGAAAUUCCAUUGGAUAACAUAAUUGGAUUUGCAUCUGAUGGUUGUAACUGUUAUGGGCUACCACAUAUUCUUAGAACCAUGUAUAAAUAGAAUUGUGCAUAACACAAUAUUACACACCUAUCUAUUUUUAACUCAAGUUCUAUUAAGAAAUAUAUUCAUGUAAAGUCUCUACAAUAAAGAAAAGAAAUUGCUAAUGAAAUUAAAUUCAAACUUAUUUCACUAAAAAUUGAUGCUAUUACUCGUUUGAAUAAAGGGUUCUUGGGAAUAAAUAUACAAAAAAAUAUAGAAAAUAAUUGUAUUCAACUUAGAACGCUUGGACUCAUUGAAUUAAUUGAAACUCACACAGAGUUAAAAAAAGAUGGAACAUGUUCUACCAUUGAUUUGAAAAACCAACAUAUCAAUUCAAGGCCAACGAAUGAUAUAGUAAAUCUUCCUAAUGAAGUUGAAAGGUACCUCAUGAGUCAAGGUAAUAAUGAUGAUAAAUCUUCAUCUAAUUUAGUAAAUUCAGCAAAUACUCAAAAUAUAGAAACAAAAAUUGAAUUACUAUUAAAAUCAUUUCACAUUGAAGAAAAAAGAUUGAAUCGGUAAAAACAUCAAGGUUCCAGGUUGUAAAACUUGUGAACGAAGCGUUGGAUGUCGUGACUGUGGAUAGUUGAAAAUGGAGCUUAAGUCAUUGUGAAGAAUUACAAGAUGAAGAUUUUAUAAUGGAAGGUUUAUGUGAUGAAAUUUUGGAGCCAGUAUAACCAUUAUAAUGACCAUUCGUCCUGACGAAGAUUCCGACAAAAGAUAAAGAUAACAUCAAUUUCUAAAAAAAAAAAAAUUGUAAUUAAUUAAAUGUUGUAUUAUUAUUAUGUAUAUACUUUUAAUGUUAUAUUAGUUAAUUGUAUUUAUCACAUGAUAGUGAUAAUGUCUGUUAUGCAUUGGAAAUUUGAUAAAAUUACCGAAAGUUUAUUUUUGAUCGAGUUAUCAUUAGAUAAUUGUUGUGCAUUUUGAAUAAACUUUGCAUCGUUUGGGUCAAAUGCAAGGGCAUAUUUGAGGUGGGUGAAGAGGGAAUUUUCCCUAAUGUAAUAUAUAAAUAAUUAAGAAUAUAAAU